This is a long non-coding RNA of Nomascus leucogenys (northern white-cheeked gibbon), 139 nucleotides long. RefSeq lists it as uncharacterized. The record is from RefSeq and is a predicted model, not a curated record. Lineage: Eukaryota; Metazoa; Chordata; Mammalia; Primates; Hylobatidae. The transcript is spliced from 5 exons.
UAUGGGAGUGGAUAUUAAUGUUGGAGGACAAUGGUGGAAGAAAUGUAAAGUUGGAUCAGGGUGAAUUUAUUGAUAUGGGCCCACUAAGCAGGGAUUCUGCAUUUAAUGUUGCAGCUUGGGAAGUUAAAAAAGUUCUAAU